ACAAAAGUCUGUUGCACCAUUUUUGCAAGAGGCUAUGUCCACAGGAACCUGUGAUGACCUCCAAUUACGUAACAGUAACUUUACAUGUUAUUUCAAAGCUCUCUUUCGAAAAAAGUUGAAACAAGAGGAGAGUAAACCUUGUAUUCAUUGGACUUGAAUGACACUGGCCCGUCAUCUUAGUGGACCAAGCAAAAAAGGUGGUGGUGUGGUCUAGUUAGGCAGCCCAUCAGUUGAAUGACACUGGCCCGUCAUCUUAGUGGACCAAGCAAAAAAGGUGGUGGUCUAGUUAGGCAGCCCAUCAGGCAUUCCUUCCUUGGACUUGUGUGACACCGGCCAGUGAUCAUCUUAGCAGACCAAGGAAAAAAAGUGGUGGUCUAGUUAGGCAGCCCAUCAGGCAUUCCUUGGACUUGUGCAACACCGGCCUGUAAUCCUUCCACUGCCCAAAGCGGGAGCUGUUCGUUGCUCUGUGCAACCAGCCUCACGCAAUCCACCCCACUUUAGGAGCCAAGUUGCCCAAGCCUUCGCCUGGACCACGUGACCCAACUCUGUGCUUGGAGAGGGCAGGCCAGAGAAUCGCAACACAAGCCCUACCCUUUGGACAGGCCUACGCAUUCUACCACAUUAAUGCCCCCACUUGGGUUACAAGCCCAUGUUACUGAGCUCAGCAAUAUGAGGUGUGUUCUCUAGUGCUAAUAAAGAGGCAAAUAACUAUGUGUAUCAGCAAUGUGGGAGAACACUUGGGGAAAAAAAGGAUAAAUUAUGUCUAGGAAACGAUAAAUUGUCAUCUUUUCCUUUUCUUUUUAUAAAACUUUGUUGCUUCACAGUCUGCC
Molecule: long non-coding RNA, 830 nt
Filed under: Capsicum annuum
Lineage: Eukaryota; Viridiplantae; Streptophyta; Magnoliopsida; Solanales; Solanaceae
Description: long non-coding RNA (CANN_LNC018004)
Source: RNAcentral